Molecule: ribosomal RNA, 465 nt
Filed under: uncultured bacterium
Lineage: Bacteria
Description: partial 16S ribosomal RNA
Rfam family: Bacterial small subunit ribosomal RNA
Source: RNAcentral
GACGAACGCUGGCGGCGUGCUUAACACAUGCAAGUCGAACGGAAAGGCCCCUUUGGGGGUACUCGAGUGGCGCACGGGUGAGUAACACGUGAGUAACCUGCCCUUGACUUCGGGAUAACUUCAGGAAAUUGGGGCUAAUACCGGAUAGGAAUCCUUGCUGCAUGGUGGGGGUUGGAAAGCUUCGGCGGUUUUGGAUGGACUCGCGGCUUAUCAGCUUGUUGGUGGGGUAGUGGCUUACCAAGGCUUUGACGGGUAGCCGGCCUGAGAGGGCGACCGGCCACAUUGGGACUGAGAUACGGCCCAGACUCCUACGGGAGGCAGCAGUGGGGAAUAUUGCACAAUGGGCGGAAGCCUGAUGCAGCAACGCCGCGUGCGGGAUGACGGCCUUCGGGUUGUAAACCGCUUUCAGCAGGGGCGAAGCUUGUGGUGACGGUACCUGCAGAAGAAGCACCGGCUAACUACGUG